GACGAACGCUGGCGGCGUGCUUAACACAUGCAAGUCGAACGGUGAAGCGCCUUCCUUUUUGGUGGGUGUGGAUGAGUGGCGAACGGGUGAGUAACACGUGAGUAACCUGCCCCCUUCUUCUGGAUAACCGCAUGAAAGUGUGGCUAAUACGGGAUAUUCUGGGUCUGUCGCAUGAUGGGUCUGGGAAAGAUAUUGUUUCGGUGGGGGAUGGGCUCGCGGCCUAUCAGCUUGUUGGUGGGGUGAUGGCCUACCAAGGCGGUGACGGGUAGCCGGCCUGAGAGGGUGGACGGUCACACGGGGACUGGGACACGGCCCAGACUCCUACGGGAGGCAGCAGUGGGGAAUAUUGCACAAUGGGCGCAAGCCUGAUGCAGCGACGCCGCGUGAGGGAUGGAGGCCUUCGGGUUGUGAACCUCUUUCGCCAGUGAAGCAGGCCUGCCUCGUUUGUGGGUGGGUUGACGGUAGCUGGAUAAGAAGCGCCGGCUAACUACGUG
RNAcentral lists this ribosomal RNA (494 nucleotides) under uncultured bacterium. RNAcentral's name for it is "partial 16S ribosomal RNA". It matches the Rfam family "Bacterial small subunit ribosomal RNA", at positions 28 to 507 of the family's 1533-position model. The record is from RNAcentral.